ACACCAAUGGUGAAGCGGUUAUCAUGCUUGCCUUCCAUUCAUAACGGUCUACUGGGCUAGCAAGCGGCAGGGGUUCGACUCCCCUUUGGUGUA
Non-coding RNA from Mycena floridula, 93 nucleotides. The record is from the annotation of a GenBank genome assembly. Lineage: Eukaryota; Fungi; Basidiomycota; Agaricomycetes; Agaricales; Mycenaceae.